This 525-nucleotide ribosomal RNA is filed under the name uncultured bacterium. RNAcentral's name for it is "bacterial SSU rRNA". It matches the Rfam family "Bacterial small subunit ribosomal RNA", at positions 355 to 896 of the family's 1533-position model. The record is from RNAcentral.
UGGGGAAUAUUGGACAAUGGGCGCAAGCCUGAUCCAGCAAUGCCGCGUGAGUGAUGAAGGCCUUAGGGUUGUAAAGCUCUUUCGCCCGCGACGAUGAUGACGGUAGCGGGAGAAGAAGCCCCGGCUAACUUCGUGCCAGCAGCCGCGGUAAUACGAAGGGGGCGAGCGUUGUUCGGAUUUACUGGGCGUAAAGGGCGCGUAGGCGGCCCUCUUUGUCGCGUGUGAAAGCCCCGGGCUCAACCUGGGAAUUGCGCGCGAAACGGGGGGGCUGGAGUUCGGGAGAGGAGCGUGGAAUUCCCAGUGUAGAGGUGAAAUUCGUAGAUAUUGGGAAGAACACCGGUGGCGAAGGCGGCGCUCUGGACCGAGACUGACGCUGAGGCGCGAAAGCGUGGGGAGCAAACAGGAUUAGAUACCCUGGUAGUCCACGCCGUAAACGGUGGAUGCUUGGUGUGGCCGGUACCCAAUCCGGCUGUGCCGAAGCUAACGCGAUAAGCAUCCCGCCUGGGGAGUACGGUCGCAAGGCUG